CUGAGAGGAUGACCAGCCACACUGGAACUGAGACACGGUCCAGACUCCUACGGGAGGCAGCAGUGGGGAAUAUUGCACAAUGGGCGCAAGCCUGAUGCAGCCAUGCCGCGUGUAUGAAGAAGGCCUUCGGGUUGUAAAGUACUUUCAGCGGGGAGGAAGGGAGUAAAGUUAAUACCUUUGCUCAUUGACGUUACCCGCAGAAGAAGCACCGGCUAACUCCGUGCCAGCAGCCGCGGUAAUACGGAGGGUGCAAGCGUUAAUCGGAAUUACUGGGCGUAAAGCGCACGCAGGCGGUUUGUUAAGUCAGAUGUGAAAUCCCCGGGCUCAACCUGGGAACUGCAUCUGAUACUGGCAAGCUUGAGUCUCGUAGAGGGGGGUAGAAUUCCAGGUGUAGCGGUGAAAUGCGUAGAGAUCUGG
This 417-nucleotide ribosomal RNA is filed under the name Escherichia coli. RNAcentral describes it as "bacterial SSU rRNA". It matches the Rfam family "Bacterial small subunit ribosomal RNA", at positions 292 to 701 of the family's 1533-position model. The record is from RNAcentral. RNAcentral also lists the same sequence under 1 other name. Lineage: Bacteria; Pseudomonadati; Pseudomonadota; Gammaproteobacteria; Enterobacterales; Enterobacteriaceae.